Molecule: small RNA, 86 nt
Filed under: Serratia ureilytica
Lineage: Bacteria; Pseudomonadati; Pseudomonadota; Gammaproteobacteria; Enterobacterales; Yersiniaceae
Description: partial RtT sRNA
Rfam family: RtT RNA
About the family: This family represents a bacterial cis-regulatory element known as RtT RNA. The exact function of RtT is unknown although it is thought that it may be involved in changing the cellular response in relation to amino acid starvation.
Source: RNAcentral
AAUGCUCCGUAUUGGGGAAGGAUGAGAAGCUUCGACCAAGGUUCGAGUCUCACGCAGUGAGACAACGCGCUUCAGCGCGGCCCGCA